This 462-nucleotide ribosomal RNA is filed under the name Caudatella hystrix. RNAcentral's name for it is "partial 16S ribosomal RNA". It matches the Rfam family "Bacterial large subunit ribosomal RNA", at positions 1923 to 2603 of the family's 2925-position model. The record is from RNAcentral. Lineage: Eukaryota; Metazoa; Arthropoda; Insecta; Ephemeroptera; Ephemerellidae.
UUUAAGGGCCGCGGUAUUUUGACCGUGCAAAGGUAGCAUAAUCAUUAGUCUUCUAAUUAGGGACUGGCAUGAAAGGUAAUACGAGGUACAAACUGUCUCCAUAAUAAACAUGAACUUAACAUUUCAGUUAAAAGGCUGAAAUAGGAUUAGAGGACGAGAAGACCCUAUAGAACUUUAUAAGGACCAAGUAGGAUUUUUAGAAAACCGUGAAAUUUUUAUUUAACCUUAUUGUGUUGGGGUGACAGGGUAAUAAAAUAACUUAUCUUAAAUUAAACACUAAUUAGUGAGUGUAGGAUCCGUGUGUGGCGAUAAUAAAAUUAAGUUACCUUAGGGAUAACAGCGUAAUCUUUUUUGAGAGUUCAUAUCGAUAAAAGGGGUUGCGACCUCGAUGUUGGAUUAAAGGUAAUUUUAGGUGCAGCUGCUUAGGAUAUUGGUCUGUUCGACCAUUAAAACUUUACAUGA